RNAcentral lists this ribosomal RNA (433 nucleotides) under uncultured bacterium. RNAcentral's name for it is "partial 16S ribosomal RNA". It matches the Rfam family "Bacterial small subunit ribosomal RNA", at positions 29 to 507 of the family's 1533-position model. The record is from RNAcentral.
AACGAACGCUGGCGGCAUGCCUAGCACAUGCAAGUCGAACGAGACCUUCGGGUCUAGUGGCGCACGGGUGCGUAACGCGUGGGAACCUGCCCUUAGGUUCGGAAUAACUCCCCGAAAGGGGUGCUAAUACCGGAUAAUGUCUUCGGACCAAAGAUUUAUCGCCUUUGGAUGGGCCCGCGUUGGAUUAGCUAGUUGGUAGGGUAAAAGCCUACCAAGGCGACGAUCCAUAGCUGGUCUGAGAGGAUGAUCAGCCACACUGGGACUGAGACACGGCCCAGACUCCUACGGGAGGCAGCAGUGGGGAAUAUUGGACAAUGGGCUAAAGCCUGAUCCAGCAAUGCCGCGUGAGUGAUGAAGGCCUUAGGGUUGUAAAGCUCUUUUACCCGGGAUGAUAAUGACAGUACCGGGAGAAUAAGCUCCGGCUAACUCCGUG